Molecule: small nuclear RNA, 303 nt
Filed under: Sorex araneus (European shrew)
Lineage: Eukaryota; Metazoa; Chordata; Mammalia; Eulipotyphla; Soricidae
Description: 7SK RNA (ENSSARG00000017601.1)
Rfam family: 7SK RNA
About the family: 7SK was discovered as an abundant small nuclear RNA in the mid-70s but a possible function has only recently been suggested. Two independent studies have found that 7SK RNA binds the CDK9/cyclin T complex (known as elongation factor P-TEFb). P-TEFb activates transcription by phosphorylating the C-terminal domain of RNA polymerase II.
Source: RNAcentral
GGGUGUGAGGGCAGUCUGGCUGUGACGGCUGUCACCCCAUCAAUAUCCAGGGUUGGUGGGCUGGUCUGGCAGGCUAGGCAGGGUCCCCCUUCCUCCUCACUGCUCCCUGUGCAUCCCUCCUGAAGCUGCAUGCUCAGGCAAAGAGGACAGCCUUCCCCCAGAUGGAGACUGACCGGUUUUCUCUCUAGGGUACAAAACCGUCCAAACAAGAAUCUCACUGGUUUGCAUGAAGCGAUUGAGGAGUUAGGAGGAUUCUUUUGGUGACCCCAUAGAAAUGGUCACAUCUAGUCUCACUUGAAGACU